Long non-coding RNA from Canis lupus familiaris (dog), 1443 nucleotides. RefSeq lists it as uncharacterized. The record is from RefSeq and is a predicted model, not a curated record. NCBI's taxonomy places the organism in Eukaryota, Metazoa, Chordata, Mammalia, Carnivora, Canidae. The transcript is spliced from 3 exons.
GGACAUGCUUAAAAUAACAAAAUGAGGAGAGCUCCAUAACAGAACCCGAGAAUACCAAAAGCGUCUCUGUACUUGACUUGCUGGAAUAUUUUUAGCUUCAGCCCCACCCAUGAACUUUAGAAAGGUUUGUAGAAAUUGGGCUCCUUCAAGGUCCUAGGCACCUCAUAUGUGCCAGACGUUGUUGAUACGCUGGAUUUACUAUGGUGAGCUCAACACUUCCUUCCCAGGAGGAGGAAAGCAAGCAUUAAAGGCCAAUGGCAAUAAAACAGCAAAUCAAGACACGGCCACAACUUUAGGGUCUAGUGAGUGUUACUAAGCAGCAAGAGGAGUUGAUGUGUUGGCCGGUGAUGAGGGCGGGGAAGAGGAGCUACUGUACUUGAGGUGUUGGGGAGUCCGGCUGAGACCUGAGGAAUACGUAGGAGCCUGUCACGAGAACACCUGAAGGUAGUUUUCCAGCAAAGGGAAAAGCUCCUGCAGAGGCAGAUCCGAGCCAGGUGUGCCCAAGGACCCAGAAGAAGGCCUGUGUGGCUGGAGGGAGCGGGGUGAGGAGGAUCCAGGGGUUUGAGAGAAGCCCCCGCACUUGGAGGGAGGCAGGCCCAGCACCACUUCCCACCACACGCCCCCACCAGCACCUGGCCCACCUCCUUGGGCCCUGAGGACACUAAGUCGUCUGUACACAAGCCCUGUCUUCUGAGGAGCUCCGAGAUCAGAGACAGAAGAUGCUUGUGCCAGGAGCUGUAAAGCGUGAAUCAGAGGAGCAAGCAGCCAGGGGCCAGAGGAUCAAGUUUGCUGGCUGCUAGAACGGGCCAGGCAAGAAAGUGGUGGGGAAGUGGAGGUAGGGCCCUGGGAGAGAAACCCAGUCCUCCGACCUCCAGGUGCAAGGAGACGACCUCCAGGUGCAAGGAGACGCAGAGCCGGCCUGGGUGGGAUGGGAGAGCCAGUCCGGCCUAAAUCCAAGCUCUUGAGUCUGACCUGAACGUGGCUUUCGCUGUGUCUUCUUAAUUCCUUUAUCUCAUUGGCUCCUUUCGGAAAGCUUGUACUUUGUGCUGAAGGAUUUAGGACUCUCCUUCUCCUUCCCCUUCCACCUUCCGAGAGGAUUAUCUAUUAAUCCAAAUGCUGACAGUCAUUCAUUUCCAUUACAAAAAUAGCCCUACUCUAUAACGGGAUCCUUCCUCGCUGCAACUGGAUGAGCAUUUUAAAUCGAGCCUGAGAAGCAAAGGGCUCUCAGCACUCUCUUGAUUCCACGUUUAUUGGAUGAGCCUUUACCAUGCUUUACAUUAACAGAAUGUAGCGGACAUCAAAUUGAGAUGAAAAAAUAAGCACACCAGUGAGAAUGGGGAAAAUGAACAAGGCAGGAAACCACAAAUGCUGGAGAGGAUGCGGAGAAAAGGGAACCCUCCUGCACUGUUGGUGGGAAUGGGAACUGGUGCAGCCACUCUGGAA